AACGAACGCUGGCGGCAGGCCUAACACAUGCAAGUCGAGCGAGGACUUCGGUCCUAGCGGCGGACGGGUGAGUAACGCGUGGGAACGUGCCCUUUGCUUCGGAAUAGCCCUGGGAAACUGGGAGUAAUACCGGAUGAGCCCUUGGGGGGAAAGAUUUAUCGGCGAAGGAUCGGCCCGCGUUGGAUUAGGUAGUUGGUGGGGUAAUGGCCUACCAAGCCGACGAUCCAUAGCUGGUUUGAGAGGAUGAUCAGCCACACUGGGACUGAGACACGGCCCAGACUCCUACGGGAGGCAGCAGUGGGGAAUCUUAGACAAUGGGGGAAACCCUGAUCGAGCCAUGCCGCGUGAGCGAUGAAGGCCUUAGGGUUGUAAAGCUCUUUCAGCUGGGAAGAUAAUGACGGUACCAGCAGAAGAAGCCCCGGCUAACUCCGUG
This 433-nucleotide ribosomal RNA is filed under the name uncultured bacterium. RNAcentral's name for it is "partial 16S ribosomal RNA". It matches the Rfam family "Bacterial small subunit ribosomal RNA", at positions 29 to 507 of the family's 1533-position model. The record is from RNAcentral.